AGAGCGAACGCUGGCGGCAGGCCUAACACAUGCAAGUCGAACGGACUCUUCGGAGUUAGUGGCGGACGGGUGAGUAACACGUGGGAACGUGCCUUUAGGUUCGGAAUAAGCCCGGGAAACUGGGUCUAAUACCGAAUGUGCCCUUCGGGGGAAAGAUUUAUCGCCUUUAGAGCGGCCCGCGUCUGAUUAGCUAGUUGGUGGUGUAAUGGACCACCAAGGCGACGAUCAGUAGCUGGUCUGAGAGGAUGACCAGCCACAUUGGGACUGAGACACGGCCCAAACUCCUACGGGAGGCAGCAGUGGGGAAUAUUGCACAAUGGGCGCAAGCCUGAUGCAGCAACGCCGCGUGAGGGACGAAGGCCUUCGGGUUGUAACCUCUUUAGUAGGAAGAAGCGAGGUGUUAUUCAUUCAUGACGGUACCUGUCCAGAAAAGCACCGGCUAACUACGUGCCAGCAGCGC
RNAcentral lists this ribosomal RNA (460 nucleotides) under uncultured soil bacterium. RNAcentral describes it as "bacterial SSU rRNA". It matches the Rfam family "Bacterial small subunit ribosomal RNA", at positions 26 to 518 of the family's 1533-position model. The record is from RNAcentral.